Corvus hawaiiensis (hawaiian crow) is the source of this 1979-nucleotide long non-coding RNA. RefSeq lists it as uncharacterized. Lineage: Eukaryota; Metazoa; Chordata; Aves; Passeriformes; Corvidae. The record is from RefSeq and is a predicted model, not a curated record. The transcript has 4 exons.
UGAGGCCAAGCUUCAGUUUUAAUAAAAGCUGUGCCUGGCUCCAAUUUCAAUGCAAUAUCAAGAAAAUACAGAUGCCAACAUGUAUUAAACACAGCAGAAUAAGGUACUGAAAGGAUGCACUGAGGUCUUGGAGCCUUCACCUCUACAGCUGAGCAACCACAGCCUUUCCUCACAGAAAAGGUGUUCCAUGCCUCCAAACAUCUUUGCAGCUCUCCUCUAGACCCACUCCAACAGGUCCAACAGUGCCUGAUGAGUUCCUCUCCCUUGACUCAUCUCUCCUGGCUGACCUAAAGGCUCCACCUGUGCAGUCUGUGGAUGUGCAGCCCAUGACUUGCACAGGUUUCCUGGUUUUCCCACAAGAGGUGUACUUGUUAGGACACUUAUUAGAGAGCAAACUGAUGAUUUUAAAUGGAGAAAGGUAAAAAAGAAAAGGAAAUGGAAGAAAGAAGGGAAAGAAGAAGAAAAAGCAUGGUAAAUGUAAAAAGCAGAGUGUGUGAUUUUCUGUUUUACAGGCAGUGCCCUUAUUUGAUUAUUGCUUGGUGGCAUAUUUGAGUUGCCCAAGGAAAGAAAUGUCGAUACAAACACAAUUUUCAGAAUAAUUCAAAUGGAAUUAAUACUUACAGGCGCUUCAGUUCUGAAAGUCCAUAGAAGGCCCCUGGCUCAAUUGUGCUGAUCAAAUUAUUCUUCAGAUCUCUAGAGAGGCAUAAUAGGAGGAGCGGUUAAUUACCAUUUUACCUACUUUACCACUGUUAUACAUGAGGAGUGUGAAAUGCAAUGCAAUUCUAACCUUUAUCUGUCUUAGCUAAAACUAAGGAUUUCUUUUAAAUAGUAGCAUCAAAAACAUUACAUCAUCUGCAGUUUAUAAAAACAUCUUUUUCCAAGAUUAGAUGCUUUAAAAAAAUCCACUUGUUUUAAUUCUUCUUCUCCUAUUUAUACUUUUCAAAACAAGCUUACCAGCCAUUCUUGCCCCAGGAAAAAAUGUUUUAAUCAAUGAGUCAAUGAAAUAAUUAGUCAGCAAAGCAAGAGCCUUUCAGCUUGCUUAUUCAUUGUGCUGUGCACUUUACACUUAAUAAAUUUCUCAUUUCCACCUAAUGUAGGCGAAGCAGUUGGCAUGUGAGACAGACAGGUCAGGUUUCUGUUCUGAAAUACAGGCAGUUUCUCGUAUUUGGCAGAUCGGUGCUUCAUUUUGCACUUGCUGACAAGCCAGAGGAUUGGCUGUUUUACAGAUAAAGAAUAUUUCACUGGCAUUAGUAAUCUGGUCUGCUCUUGACACAGUGCUUGGAGCCAUGACACUGCUCUCAGCUCAGUCCCCACAGAUUUACUACUGAACUGUCUCAAAGACUUUUGUGAUGUGAACCCCAAACAAGUGCCUUCAGUGCAACUAGAUAAGCAGGCCUAGGAGACAAAUGCUGUAAAUUCUUGCAGGCAGUAUUCAUCUUCUGACAAUUUGCAAUUCAUGGGGAGCAACUGGUGCUCACUAGUUUCGGUGCUGUUUCUCGGGCUGGCCACUUCCAAGAAUCACAGCACAUACACUGCUCAGCUCUGCUGAAGUACAGAUGGAUCAACAGCCACAGGAAUAAUCUUAUUUAAGACUUUUUAUUUUACUGCAGAUAAAGUGCACACUAGCUGAAAACUUGAGUCCACUACCUGUGAUUGGCCUGAACAGGGCAAGAUUAUAUCCCAAAUGUUUAUUUCACAGUAGGAUAUAUUUUAUUUUCCAAGUCAAAAUCAUAAAUAAAUAUUUCUGUACUUUUCUAGUCAUUUUUGCAGAUCUCUUGAAUACAGUUCCAAAAAUUUGUGUCUCACACCCAUUUCAUUAUAGCAAUGACGUCAAUGAGUGAUUUGUCCCUAACUAAGUUCUGAGUUAGGACUCUUUAACAGUCAAGUUUAGCUUUCAGCUUGCCACAUGCAACUCUAAAAGUCUUUAAGAAGUAGAUUUAUCUGUCUUAAUUUCCUCAAGAAGUUGUGACCAUUUCUUU